GACGAACGCUGGCGGCGUGCUUAACACAUGCAAGUCGAACGGAAAGGCCCUGCUUUUGUGGGGUGCUCGAGUGGCGAACGGGUGAGUAACACGUGAGUAACCUGCCCUUGACUUUGGGAUAACUUCAGGAAACUGGGGCUAAUACCGGAUAGGAGCUCCUGCUGCAUGGUGGGGGUUGGAAAGUUUCGGCGGUUGGGGAUGGACUCGCGGCUUAUCAGCUUGUUGGUGGGGUAGUGGCUUACCAAGGCUUUGACGGGUAGCCGGCCUGAGAGGGUGACCGGCCACAUUGGGACUGAGAUAAGGACCAGACUCCUACAGAAGACAGCAGUGGGGAAUAUUGCACAAUGGGCGGAAGCAUGAUGAAGCAACGCCGCGUGCGGGAUGACGGCCUUCGGGUUGUAAACCGCUUUCGCCUGUGACGAAGCGUGAGUGACGGUAAUGGGUAAAGAAGCACCGGCUAACUACGUG
Molecule: ribosomal RNA, 468 nt
Filed under: uncultured bacterium
Lineage: Bacteria
Description: partial 16S ribosomal RNA
Rfam family: Bacterial small subunit ribosomal RNA
Source: RNAcentral